CCUACGGGUGGCAGCAGUGAGGAAUAUUGGUCAAUGGACGAGAGUCUGAACCAGCCAAGUAGCGUGAAGGAUGACUGCCCAAUGGGUUGUAAACUUCUUUUAUAUGGGAAUAAAAUGUUCCACGUGUGGGAUUUUGUAUGUACCAUAUGAAUAAGGAUCGGCUAACUCCGUGCCAGCAGCCGCGGUAAUACGGAGGAUCCGAGCGUUAUCCGGAUUUAUUGGGUUUAAAGGGUGCGUAGGUGGAUUGUUAAGUCAGGUGUGAAAGUUUGGGGCUCAACCGUAAAAUUGCAGUUGAAACUGGCAGUCUUGAGUACAGUAGAGGUGGGCGGAAUUCGUGGUGUAGCGGUGAAAUGCUUAGAUAUCACGAAGAACUCCGAUUGCGAAGGCAGUUCACUGGCCUGCAACUGACACUGAGGCUCGAAAGUGUGGGUAUCAAACAGGAUUAGAUACCCGGGUAGUC
This 460-nucleotide ribosomal RNA is filed under the name uncultured bacterium. RNAcentral's name for it is "partial 16S ribosomal RNA". It matches the Rfam family "Bacterial small subunit ribosomal RNA", at positions 338 to 795 of the family's 1533-position model. The record is from RNAcentral.